GGGAGCGCUCCGCCGAGCAAGGUCGCGAGCGGCCGAGUCGCGGAGGCGCCUCCGCUGCAGUCGCUGCGUCUCCAAGGUGGGGCUGUCAGACCGCCCCCCGCAGAGCCUCCAGCUUCCCCGGGCCUUGGCUACCGUCCGCGGGCCUGUGGCGAUGGAGAGGCGCUGCCGGGACACCUUCCCGCACCCCUGAGAGCAGCGCCCGAGGAUCUGAGGAGCCCUUUAUUCUGCGGUUUCGGUUACGUAAACGGAGCCCAGGGAGGUAGAGACACUCACCAUUGGAUUUAGGGCUCAGCUGUGGAUAAUCCAGGAUGAUCUCAUUU
Long non-coding RNA from Pongo pygmaeus (Bornean orangutan), 320 nucleotides. RefSeq lists it as uncharacterized. The record is from RefSeq and is a predicted model, not a curated record. Lineage: Eukaryota; Metazoa; Chordata; Mammalia; Primates; Hominidae. The transcript has 3 exons.